Molecule: ribosomal RNA, 427 nt
Filed under: uncultured bacterium
Lineage: Bacteria
Description: bacterial SSU rRNA
Rfam family: Bacterial small subunit ribosomal RNA
Source: RNAcentral
UAGGGAAUAUUGGACAAUGGGGGCAACCCUGAUCCAGCCAUGCCGCGUGAGUGAAGAAGGCCCUCGGGUUGUAAAGCUAUUUUGUCCGGAAAGAAAAGCAUUCGGUGAAUACCCGGAUGUUCUGACGGUACCGGAAGAAUAAGCACCGGCUAACUUCGUGCCAGCAGCCGCGGUAAUACGAAGGGUGCAAGCGUUACUCGGAAUUACUGGGCGUAAAGCGUGCGUAGGUGGUUGUUUAAGUCUGAUGUGAAAGCCCUGGGCUCAACCGGGGAAUGGCAUUGGAAACUGGGCAUAUAGAGUGCGGUAGGGGGUAGUGGAAUUCCCGGUGUAGCAGUGAAAUGUGUAGAGAUCGGGAGGAACAUCUGUGGCGAAGGCGACUGCCUGGACCAGCACUGACACUGAGGCACGAAAGCGUGGGGAGCAAACA